GAUUCAAACCGCCUCCGCCUUUGACGCCGCCGCCGCUCUUAUGGUCUGCCGUUUCGGACCAAUCGUUAGAGUUGUUUUUUUCUUUCUCUUCUCUCUAGCUACAGCCCACCGCCGCCCCCUCCUCACCACUCCUGCGGAGCCCUCUACCUAGCCUUCGACCUUCAAGGAAGGCUUCGUCUCUAGGACUCCUACCUCUAACGUAGGGACCACUUGAACGAGUCCCUCUUGGUCAGACUGUAAGAAGUUAAGCUGGGACUCUAGCGCUCCUUCUAGUGCAGGGACUCCUCGCUCUAGCGUACGGUCUUCAACCGCUCCCUCGCGUUUCGGAGCCAAGGCCUCCGCUUUGCGUGUCACCGCUCCUCCGCAUUUUUCAAGCGACGACACGCCUCCCAGCGCCUCUUCCUCCUCUUGUACCGGCCAGUCCUCCCGCACCUAGACGGGUUGACGCUAUGGGUCUCGUACUCGAGGGUUCAGUCAACGUAGAGACUCGUCUACGGGCUCGCCACGCUGGUCUUCCUCUAACUGAGCCCCUUUUAGUUUGGACGGAGGCCUAAGUAUAGGUUGAGGCUCGUACAUAUAAACGGGGUGCCGCCACUCCUACUCCCGCUCGCGGAUUUGACGAAUAAGUCAAUAUAUAACGUUGACUGCCUACGGAACACGCUGCUCUACCGUAGGUACCGUAGAUAAGACCGGUUUUAGUCAUAGGGGCAAUAGAGGAUAAUGUUCCAGAAGCUAGUCAAUUUGCGCCGCGUCUCCAAUAGAUUCUAGAGGGACCUAUAUAAUGUAAGUUGGCGCUUACGUCUAUUUUUCUACCGACUGGUUUUACGACUCCUGGUCUCCCGGCUUCUCCUGUUUCCGUUUAGGUCGUGGGUGACAAAACUCUUGGUCCCUUGGUUCGUUGUACACCUACGUAGACAUUGUCUAGCCUGUUACCCGGAAACAUUUAGUUUGUACCUUUGCGGCGUCUACCGACGGAUGACAGGACUACCGGUCUACUGACUACUCCUCCUACUUGUAAAGCACCGUCGCCUAGGAUAUUCACCGGAAACACUGGUCCGCUGACAGGUGAGAGUGCUCUUGGUCUCAUGGUGCCUCAUGUACCUCUACCAACUAGGGUACUGUCUACUUCCGGUUAGUUCGUGCCUCUGCGUACGCAGCUCCUACUACCUGCCCCCGUUAAGUUCGUCGCUUCCGUUUAGUUCGUUACUUCCGGUUAGUUCAUGCCUCUGCGUACGUAGCUCCCACUACCUGCUCCCGUUAAGUUCGUUACUUCCGUUUAGUUCGUUGCUUUCGUUUAGUUCGUGUUUCCGUCACCACUACCACGACCUAAGGCUACUCCUCGUACUUCACGUCCCAUACUGGUACCUCUACGCGUUUAUAAACUUCUACGAGCUUACACUCCUCCUCCUCCUCCUCCCCUUCUACUGGGGCCUCCUAAAUCGCUACCGACUGGUUAAACUCUUCCUCGAUAAUCUCUACCUUCGGUUGAAAGAGUUUCAGGUCCUCGUCCUACUAUUCCUGUGCGGUUUGACCUAGAGACAGAGUGUAGUCCUACUAUUCCUGUGCGGUUUGACCUAGAGACAGAGUGUAGUCCUACUCCGUCUCCUCUACCUCAACCUCCUGUCCAGCAAACGAUCUGCGGCAUUCCCGACCCUUAGACGUACCCCUCUGGCGUCACUGAAGCUUCUGAACUGGAAUAACUCAGGAUACGUGAAAUGUGUAACGUGCGACCCUGACUAGGGGAUGUGACGAUCGUGACACUCGCGGAACGUCUAGAUGAGACAGUUCUAACAACUUUGUUUCCCUUUCAACUUCACCGGUGAGAUACAGAUAUCCCAGCAGCGACGGGCUCUACGGCAUCUAGUGUUGGCAUUGUAAGAGAAGAGAGCCGUUUCCCUUCUGAUGGUUCUUGAGUGAGAUCUCCUAGGAAAAAACGUGGACUGACCGGGCAGAGCACGCUAACACCGACACCUGUUACAACUGAAGCUUUAGGUUGAGUUUCAUUUCCCGUGUUGUACCAGACCACUGUUUCGUAACUAGUCAGUGAAGGUCUGGAUGGGGCCACUAGCACUUCCAAAUCUAUGUCGCGAGAAAUCGUUGAGGAAAACGUGCUAUCUCAAUACAAAACUCGCUGAAUGUCUUUGGCAGGUCCGAUGAUAGAACUCACAGACACAACAACUUCCCACCGGUAGUGGAAAACUUAUGCCGCCGGCCUAAUACACGAGGAGUGGUGGUGUCCUUCAAUUCCUGGGGGAUAGGUCCGUACAACACAACCAACUAAGAGUACUAAAACUACCUCUUUACGGUUACCCGAGUCGACCAAUGCAACUAGACAGUUCCGUACAACAAAGACAUCUUGACCCUGUAUUGGACGUUAAACAGUAUGUUCGAAUGAGUGUCAGACCACGGUAACGAUCCGUUUCGGCAGAGUGCAAAUCCUGGUUUAUAACGUUGUAUUCAGCUCCAUAUACACUCUAACCACUGAGAUUCCACCUCUAAUGACAACGAACCAGGGUCGAAUAGUUCUCGUUCUACCUUUAGGAGAUUCUUCCUUACCAAGAAAACCGCACCUACGAUAAGAACAGAACAACUUGCCUCCUAACACCAUAUAACAACUUCUAACCACUAAGAUUCGGUGGUCUUUCCUGGCAACGAACAACUUCUAACACCAUAGGAGAUUCUUCUAACCACUAAGAUUCUACCUUUAGGAGAUUCUUCCUAACAACUUGCCUCCUUACUAAGUGUGGCGGGUAAAAUAGACAAGAACAGAACGUACACCCAACGCUUUGACAGGUACAUAAACACAUAACUAAUCGAUCAUACAGGUUGACAAACACGUAGCUGGAUUACAAUAGGCUGAUAAACACGGAUGAUGUUAAAUAAUAAUACGAC
This 2892-nucleotide ribosomal RNA is filed under the name Triticum aestivum (bread wheat). Its description in RNAcentral is "partial small subunit ribosomal RNA". The record is from RNAcentral. Lineage: Eukaryota; Viridiplantae; Streptophyta; Magnoliopsida; Poales; Poaceae.